RNAcentral lists this ribosomal RNA (428 nucleotides) under uncultured Haliangium sp. RNAcentral describes it as "bacterial SSU rRNA". It matches the Rfam family "Bacterial small subunit ribosomal RNA", at positions 355 to 774 of the family's 1533-position model. Lineage: Bacteria; Pseudomonadati; Myxococcota; Haliangiales; Kofleriaceae. The record is from RNAcentral.
UGGGGAAUAUUGGGCAAUGGGCGCAAGCCUGACCCAGCCAUGCCGCGUGAGUGAUGAAGGCCUUCGGGUCGUAAAGCUCUGUGGGGAGGGAAGAAACCGGACAUGGAUAACACCCAUGGCUCUUGACGGUACCUCCUUAGCAAGCACCGGCUAACUCCGUGCCAGCAGCCGCGGUAAUACGGAGGGUGCAAACGUUGCUCGGAAUCAUUGGGCGUAAAGCGCACGUAGGCGGCCUGUUAAGUCGGGUGUGAAAGCCCUGGGCUCAACCCAGGAAGUGCACUCGAAACUGUCAGGCUUGAAUAUGGAAGAGGGUCGCGGAAUUCCCGGUGUAGAGGUGAAAUUCGUAGAUAUCGGGAGGAACACCAGUGGCGAAGGCGGCGACCUGGGCCAAUAUUGACGCUGAGGUGCGAAAGCGUGGGGAGCAAACA